AAUAAGAUAAGCUAAUAAAGCUUUUGGACUCAUAAUCCAACAAUGGUAUCACCUCUUAUUA
This 61-nucleotide transfer RNA is filed under the name Eusyllis blomstrandi. RNAcentral describes it as "tRNA-Met". The record is from RNAcentral. Lineage: Eukaryota; Metazoa; Annelida; Polychaeta; Phyllodocida; Syllidae.